UACAGAGGUCUCAAGCGUUGUUCGGAUUCAUUGGGCGUAAAGGGUGCGUAGGCGGUUCUGUAAGUCGGGUGUGAAAUUUCGGAGCUUAACUCCGAAACUGCAUUCGAUACUGCGGUGCUUGAGGACUGGAGAGGAGACUGGAAUUCAUGGUGUAGCAGUGAAAUGCGUAGAGAUCAUGAGGAAGACCAGUGGCGAAGGCGGGUCUCUGGACAGUUCCUGACACUGAGGCACGAAGGCCAGGGGAGCAAACGGG
Molecule: ribosomal RNA, 253 nt
Filed under: uncultured bacterium
Lineage: Bacteria
Description: partial 16S ribosomal RNA
Rfam family: Bacterial small subunit ribosomal RNA
Source: RNAcentral